Molecule: transfer RNA, 73 nt
Filed under: Rhizobacter gummiphilus
Lineage: Bacteria; Pseudomonadati; Pseudomonadota; Betaproteobacteria; Burkholderiales; Sphaerotilaceae
Description: Methylibium sp. NS21 tRNA
Rfam family: tRNA
About the family: Transfer RNA (tRNA) molecules are approximately 80 nucleotides in length. Their secondary structure includes four short double-helical elements and three loops (D, anti-codon, and T loops).
Source: Rfam by way of RNAcentral
GCGGACGUGGCGCAGCAGGCAGCGCGCAACGUUGCCAACGUCGAGGCCACGGGUUCGAUCCCCGUCGUCCGCU